RNAcentral lists this ribosomal RNA (327 nucleotides) under uncultured eukaryote. RNAcentral describes it as "partial 18S ribosomal RNA". It matches the Rfam family "Eukaryotic small subunit ribosomal RNA", at positions 1470 to 1796 of the family's 1831-position model. The record is from RNAcentral.
CCCUUAGAUGUCCGGGGCUGCACGCGCGCUACACUGAAGGAAUCAGCGUGCUAAAACCAUUGUCGAAAGGCAUUGGUAAACCCAUUAAAAUCCUACGUGAUUGGGAUCGGGAAUUGCAAUUAUUUCCCUUGAACGAGGAAUUCCCAGUAAGUGUGGGUCAUAAGCUCGCGUUGAUUACGUCCCUGCCCUUUGUACACACCGCCCGUCGCUGCCCGGGACUGAGCCGUUUCGAGAAAAGCGGGGACUGCUGCUGUCGGGGCUUUCGGGCCUUGGCUUCGUGGAAACCGCUUUAAUCGCAGUGGCUUGAACCGGGCAAAAGUCGUAACA